UACAGAGGUCCCAAGCGUUGUUCGGAUUCACUGGGCGUAAAGGGUGCGUAGGUGGUCGGGUAAGUCUGAUGUGAAAUCUUCGAGCUCAACUCGAAAAUGGCAUUGGAUACUAUUCGGCUGGAGGGUUGGAAGGGGGACUGGAAUUCUCGGUGUAGCGGUGAAAUGCGUAGAUAUCGAAAGGAACACCUGCGGCGAAGGCGGGUUGCUGGGCUGACACUGACGCUGAUGCGCGAAAGCCAGGGGAGCGAACGGG
Molecule: ribosomal RNA, 253 nt
Filed under: uncultured bacterium
Lineage: Bacteria
Description: partial 16S ribosomal RNA
Rfam family: Bacterial small subunit ribosomal RNA
Source: RNAcentral